CGUAGGGUGCGAGCGUUAAUCGGAAUUACUGGGCGUAAAGCGUGCGCAGGCGGUUUAGUAAGACAGGCGUGAAAUCCCCGGGCUCAACCUGGGAACUGCGCUUGUGACUGCUAAGCUAGAGUACGGCAGAGGGGGGUGGAAUUCCACGUGUAGCAGUGAAAUGCGUAGAGAUGUGGAGGAACACCAAUGGCGAAGGCAGCCCCCUGGGUCGAUACUGACGCUCAUGCACGAAAGCGUGGGUAGCAAACAGGAUUAGAUACCCUGGUAGUCCACGCCCUAAACGAUGUCAACUAGGUGUUGGGAGGGUAAAACCCUUUUAGUACCGGAGCUAACGCGUGAAGUUGACCGCCUGGGGAGUACGGCCGCAAGGUUA
Molecule: ribosomal RNA, 373 nt
Filed under: uncultured organism
Description: bacterial SSU rRNA
Rfam family: Bacterial small subunit ribosomal RNA
Source: RNAcentral